This 255-nucleotide ribosomal RNA is filed under the name uncultured bacterium. RNAcentral describes it as "partial 16S ribosomal RNA". It matches the Rfam family "Bacterial small subunit ribosomal RNA", at positions 526 to 779 of the family's 1533-position model. The record is from RNAcentral.
CGGAGGGUGCAAGCGUUAUCCGGAUUCACUGGGUUUAAAGGGUGCGUAGGUGGUUUUGUAAGUCAGUGGUGAAAGCCCGGAGCUCAACUCCGGAACUGCCAUUGAUACUGCUUAACUUGAAUCAACUUGAGGUGGAUGGAAUAUUACAUGUAGCGGUGAAAUGCUUAGAUAUGUAAUAGAACACCGAUUGCGAAGGCAGUUCACUAAGGUUGUAUUGACACUGAGGCACGAAAGCGUGGGGGAUCAAACAGGAUU